RNAcentral lists this ribosomal RNA (830 nucleotides) under uncultured bacterium. RNAcentral describes it as "bacterial SSU rRNA". It matches the Rfam family "Bacterial small subunit ribosomal RNA", at positions 505 to 1325 of the family's 1533-position model. The record is from RNAcentral.
GUGCCAGCAGCCGCGGUAAUACAGAGGUCCCGAGCGUUGUUCGGAUUCACUGGGCGUAAAGGGUGCGUAGGUGGCAUGGCAAGUUUGAUGUGAAAGCUCAGGGCUUAACCCUGAAAUGGCAUUGAAUACUGCUGUGCUGGAGGAUUGGAGGGGGGACUGGAAUUCUUGGUGUAGCAGUGAAAUGCGUAGAUAUCAAGAGGAACACCAGUGGCGAAGGCGAGUCCCUGGACAACACCUGACACUGAGGCACGAAAGCUAGGGGAGCAAACAGGAUUAGAUACCCUGGUAGUCCUAGCCCUAAACGGUGUGCGCUUGCUGUAAGAGGAAUCGACCCCUCUUGUGGCGAAGCUAACGCGUUAAGCGCACCGCCUGGGGAGUACGGUCGCAAGAUUAAAACUCAAAGAAAUUGACGGGGGCCUGCACAAGCGGUGGAGUAUGUGGCUUAAUUCGAUGCAACGCGAAGAACCUUACCUGGCCUUGACAUGCAAGUGGUAGAACCAUGAAAGUGGGACGACCCCGCAAGGGGAGCUUGCACAGGUGCUGCAUGGCUGUCGUCAGCUCGUGUCGUGAGAUGUUGGGUUAAGUCCCGCAACGAGCGCAACCCUUGUGUCCUGUUGCCACCCCCACGAGAGUGGGGAGCACUCUGGACAGACUGCCUCGCUUAAACGGGGAGGAAGGUGGGGAUGACGUCAAGUCAGUAUGGCCCUUACGGCCAGGGCUGCACACGCACUACAAUGCCUAACACAAAGGGAAGCCAGACCGUCAGGUGGAGCAAAUCCCAGAAAAUUAGGCCCAGUUCAGAUUGUCGUCUGCAACUCGACGGCAUGAAG